This 206-nucleotide long non-coding RNA is filed under the name Musa acuminata (dwarf banana). RNAcentral describes it as "long non-coding RNA (MACU_LNC001953)". The record is from RNAcentral. Lineage: Eukaryota; Viridiplantae; Streptophyta; Magnoliopsida; Zingiberales; Musaceae.
CUUCAAACCAUCGAGGAAGCUGAACAGCUUAUCCUUCUCGGACAUGUCCUGGAUGUCCAGCAUUAGCGCAGAAAAUUACUUCACGUAGUCUUGGAUGGAAGCAUUUUGGCGGAGUUAUCUCAAUUUCCUUCUUGCGACGAACUCGGUGUUCUCCGGUAGGAACUGAGUUCUCAACUCUCGCUUCAAGUCCUCCCAUGUGUCAACUC